GUGGCUAUAUUUCAAUGGUAGAAAGAAUGUUUGUGGUAUAUUAAAUCUAAGUUCAAUUCUUAGUAGUCACC
Molecule: transfer RNA, 71 nt
Filed under: Maudiozyma exigua
Lineage: Eukaryota; Fungi; Ascomycota; Saccharomycetes; Saccharomycetales; Saccharomycetaceae
Also listed under: 1 other name
Description: tRNA-His
Rfam family: tRNA
About the family: Transfer RNA (tRNA) molecules are approximately 80 nucleotides in length.
Source: RNAcentral